UACUCGAGUGGCGAACGGGUGAGUAACACGUGGGUGAUCUGCCCUGCACUUCGGGAUAAGCUUGGGAAACGUGGGUCUAAUACCGGAUAGGAACCAUCUUUAGUGUGGUGGUUGGAAAGUUUUUUCGGUGUAGGAUGAGCUCGCGGCCUAUCAGCUUGUUGGUGGGGUAAUGGCCUACCAAGGCGGCGACGGGUAGCCGGCCUGAGAGGGUGUACGGCCACAUUGGGACUGAGAUACGGCCCAG
This 244-nucleotide ribosomal RNA is filed under the name uncultured Actinomycetales bacterium. RNAcentral describes it as "partial 16S ribosomal RNA". It matches the Rfam family "Bacterial small subunit ribosomal RNA", at positions 88 to 334 of the family's 1533-position model. The record is from RNAcentral. Lineage: Bacteria; Bacillati; Actinomycetota; Actinomycetes; Actinomycetales.